UUUAAUAUGGCAGAUAAGUGCAUUAGAUUUAAGCUCUAAUUAUAAAUAUUUUAUUAUUUUAUUAAAA
Molecule: transfer RNA, 67 nt
Filed under: Scolytinae sp. BMNH 1040146
Lineage: Eukaryota; Metazoa; Arthropoda; Insecta; Coleoptera; Curculionidae
Description: tRNA-Leu
Source: RNAcentral